UACGAAGGGGGCUAGCGUUGCUCGGAAUCACUGGGCGUAAAGCGCACGUAGGCGGCUUUCUAAGUCAGGGGUGAAAUCCUGGAGCUCAACUCCAGAACUGCCUUUGAUACUGGAAAGCUUGGGUUCGGGAGAGGUGAGUGGAACUGCGAGUGUAGAGGUGAAAUUCGUAGAUAUUAGGAAGAACACCAGUGGCGAAGGCGGCUCACUGGUCCGGUACUGACGCUGAGGUGCGAAAGCGUGGGGAGCAAACAGG
RNAcentral lists this ribosomal RNA (253 nucleotides) under uncultured bacterium. Its description in RNAcentral is "partial 16S ribosomal RNA". It matches the Rfam family "Bacterial small subunit ribosomal RNA", at positions 524 to 776 of the family's 1533-position model. The record is from RNAcentral.